Molecule: long non-coding RNA, 915 nt
Organism: Mus musculus (house mouse)
Lineage: Eukaryota; Metazoa; Chordata; Mammalia; Rodentia; Muridae
Product: RIKEN cDNA 4930405D01 gene
Exons: 5
Source: RefSeq, a predicted model, not a curated record
AUCUGGGAUUGGGAAGACUGUAAUUUUAGGUGCUGAUAUUGGUCUUGACAUUGUUGGGAGGGUGUUUUUGUUUUUGUUUUUCAGUUGCUUUGUAAUGCUCGCUCUGGUUCUUAGUGGGGUGUGGUUGCUGUGUGUUUUCUGAAAGGAAAUUUUUCUGGGAUCUUUAUCAGUUUGGUCUGUAAGGUUUCCAGAUGAAAUAUGUUUCUAAGUAUUGGAAACUGGCACUUGGGAGUAGGAUGGAUUCGACUUGGGGUCUGAAUGAUCCAAGGAGUGAGGAAAUCAAGGUGUUCCACUGUGAUCUCAUCACCUGGAAUGUUGGCCAAUAGAGAGAGGAGAUGCCACAAUGGAUAGCCUGCUGCAGUGCUGGGGAUGGGACUAGAGGACUGGAUUUGGAGGAGAAGAGGGAGAAUCAAGCUCUGAAGUUCACCUAUUUGCUUGCCUAGCCUACUUGCUUCUUCGACAGGCUUGCCUGGAGGGUUUCUAAAGAAUAUCUGCUGGAGUCAGAGAACUGGAUAAUAGAAUGUGUGAGGAGGCUGGUUGGAGGAGAAUAUCUUCUUGAUCUGUUGGAGAUGCAGGGCAGAACUGCAGUAGCUAUGUUUUUACCAUGUUCUGAUGAAACUAACUCUGUCUCUGAACAAACUUGGAUAGCAGCAGCAGCAACAACAACAACAAAGCAAAAUGGUUACCCUGUCCUAAAUCCUAUACAUGCAUUCCAAGAUCCCCUACAACUAGGACACCUUUGAUCAUCCUCAGCAAUAUUACAGGCCAAUGUUAUUAUUAAAACCCAUACAUCAAUGAGCUUUACUCUGUUUUGACUAAGAAGAAACCACACAUCCUUCACCUUUUAUUGAUUCAUUGCCAGGAAAGGAAAUGCUGCCGUUGAGCCCUACAAGGAAGAUCUUUGAAGAACCGGGA